AAGCGUGUGUAGGCGGACGGGUAAGUACCUUGUGAAAUCCCACGGCUCAACCGUGGAACUGCUUGGUAUACUGCCUGUCUUGAGCCAGCUAGGGGCAACCGGAACAAAUGGUGGAGCGGUGAAAUGCGUAGAUAUCAUUUGGAACGCCGACGGUGAAAACAGGUUGCUGGGGCUGUGCUGACGCUGAGACACGAAAGCUAGGGGAGCAAACGGGAUUAGAUAACCCGGUAGUCCUAGCCGUAAACGAUGUCGACUAGAUCGCGGCAGCUCUGACGCUGUCGCGGUCGAAGUAAAAAUGUUAAGUCGACCGCCUGGGAAGUACGGUCGCAAGGCUAAAACUCAAAGGAAUUGACGGGGGCUCACACAAGCGGUGGAGCAUGUGGUUCAAUUCGAAGCAACGCGCAGAACCUUACCUGGGCUUGACAUGCUAGGAUUACCCGGAUGAAAGUUCGGUAGGCCCCGCAAGGGGUACAACUAGUACAGGUGCUGCAUGGCUGUCGUCAGCUCGUGUCGUGAGAUGUCGGGUUAAGUCCCUUAACGAGCGAAACCUUUGCCCUUAGUUACUAACGGGUUAUGCCGAGGACUCUAAGGGGACUGCCGGUGUCAAACCGGAGGAAGGUGGAGAUGACGUCAAGUCUUCAUGGCCUUUAUGCCCAGGGCCACACACGUGCUACAAUGGCGUCCACAAAGCGAACCUAAAGCGCGAGCUCAUGGAAAUCGCAAAAAUGACGCCCCAGUUCAGAUCGGAGGCUGCAACUCGCCUCCGUGAAGUUGGAAUCGCUAGUAA
Molecule: ribosomal RNA, 787 nt
Filed under: uncultured bacterium
Lineage: Bacteria
Description: bacterial SSU rRNA
Rfam family: Bacterial small subunit ribosomal RNA
Source: RNAcentral